Molecule: long non-coding RNA, 438 nt
Filed under: Triticum aestivum (bread wheat)
Lineage: Eukaryota; Viridiplantae; Streptophyta; Magnoliopsida; Poales; Poaceae
Description: long non-coding RNA (TAES_LNC019652)
Source: RNAcentral
AUUGUACAUGCCUUUAUAGAAUUUACCUUGUCAAUCGAACAACACGGUUCAACACACCCUAGUCAGACAGUGGAAAGAACAACAGAAAUUUUCCUUUAUGCAAACUCAGAUAGGUACUUUCAGAGUCUUCUUCUUGCAUAUAAGAAUGCAACUCGAUGCUAACUCGCAAUAGACGUUGAGAAGACACUGUACAAUCUUCACUGCAAAUGGAACCGUCUGGGAGGUGUACCAGUGGACAAUCAAAACGAGCACCCCCAGAUGAUAUCUUCACAAUAUAGCUGACUCUGGCCAUCGUCGUUUGGUCCUGUUUUCUUUUAGUAUUUAAAUAACAUAAAGUUAAGAAAUAACACAAGGUUAGAAAGACUACAGGUAUGAGAAAACUAACCAAGCUUGGGCAAAAACACAGAAUGAGAUACGCAAGAAUAACUCAACCAGGAG